RNAcentral lists this long non-coding RNA (602 nucleotides) under Lathyrus oleraceus (garden pea). Its description in RNAcentral is "Pisum sativum (pea) long non-coding RNA (PSAT_LNC036617)". The record is from RNAcentral. Lineage: Eukaryota; Viridiplantae; Streptophyta; Magnoliopsida; Fabales; Fabaceae.
AAUUGUGGAAUAAAUGAAUCCUAAUUUCUUUCGUGUCAAUUGAAACCUCAAAUCGAGUUGUUGAAAAUUUUGCCUUUUGCUUAUUUCUAAGUAGGGAGCAUUAUUGAAUAAAUUUGGUUUUGGAAUCUAAAGUUGGGGAGAGUAAAAUGAGAAGUGAUUAGAAACUUGGAAAAGUGAGUUUUUAUGAAAGGGUGAAAAUUUGAAAAGAAACAAGAAAAAGAAAAUACCCUUGAAGCCAUAGAGCAAAGAAAAAAGUAAAGAAAAAAAAUCAAAGAAAAUGCUCAUGGUUGUGUGGAUGUAAUAAGAAAAAGAAAAAAAAAAUAGGGAUCAAAGAAAGGGAAAUUGUGUAGAGUUGAAUGUUUGGGAAUGCUCCCUUAGGAUAGGCAACUUUGUUGAAUUCUCUUAAUCAUAUCCUUUCUUGUAACCUAAGCCACAUUACAACCUUUGAAAGACCUCUUGAUUCUCAUUUUUCACAUGAUUUGGUAUUUGUUGUGAUAACCGCAUGAUUUGAGUUGUUGUUGAUUUAAUUGCUUGGAUGAGUGAAAGUAACCCUUCAUGUUAUUCAUCAUUAUUAUGAUGUGUGUGUAAGUUUGAUUCAAUUU